UGCCAGCCGCCGCGGUAAUACAGAGGGUGCAAACGUUGUUCGGAAUUACUGGGCGUAAAGCGCGUGUAGGCGGCAUGUUAAGUCGACUGUGAAAGCCCAUAGCUCAACUAUGGAACUGCCUUUGAUACUGCAAAUCUUGAGUUCGGAAGGGAGAGGCGGAAUUCCAGGUGUAGUGGUGAAAUACGUAGAUAUCUGGAAGAACACCAGAGGCGAAGGCGGUCUCUUGGUCCGAAACUGACGCUGAGGCGCGAAAGCGUGGGGAGCAAACAGGAUUAGAUA
Molecule: ribosomal RNA, 279 nt
Filed under: uncultured bacterium
Lineage: Bacteria
Description: partial 16S ribosomal RNA
Rfam family: Bacterial small subunit ribosomal RNA
Source: RNAcentral